CGGAAAGGCCCUUCGGGGUACUCGAGUGGCGAACGGGUGAGUAACACGUGGGUGAUCUGCCCUGCACUUUGGGAUAAGCCUGGGAAACUGGGUCUAAUACCGGAUAGGACCACGGUCUGCAUGGAUUGUGGUGGAAAGCUUUUGCGGUGUGGGAUGGGCCCGCGGCCUAUCAGCUUGUUGGUGGGGUGAUGGCCUACCAAGGCGACGACGGGUAGCCGGCCUGAGAGGGUGUCCGGCCACACUGGGACUGAGAUACGGCCCAGACUCCUACGGGAGGCAGCAGUGGGGAAUAUUGCACAAUGGGCGCAAGCCUGAUGCAGCGACGCCGCGUGGGGGAUGACGGCCUUCGGGUUGUAAACCUCUUUCAGUAGGGACGAAGCGCGAGUGACGGUACCUACAGAAGAAGCACCGGCCAACUACGUGCCAGCAGCCGCGGUAAUACGUAGGGUGCGAGCGUUGUCCGGAAUUACUGGGCGUAAAGAGCUCGUAGGUGGUUUGUCGCGUUGUUCGUGAAAACUCACAGCUUAACUGUGGGCGUGCGGGCGAUACGGGCAGACUGGAGUACUGCAGGGGAGACUGGAAUUCCUGGUGUAGCGGUGGAAUGCGCAGAUAUCAGGAGGAACACCGGUGGCGAAGGCGGGUCUCUGGGCAGUAACUGACGCUGAGGAGCGAAAGCGUGGGGAGCGAACAGGAUUAGAUACCCUGGUAGUCCACGCCGUAAACGGUGGGUACUAGGUGUGGGUUUCCUUCCUUGGGAUCCGUGCCGUAGCUAACGCAUUAAGUACCCCGCCUGGGGAGUAC
Molecule: ribosomal RNA, 801 nt
Filed under: Mycolicibacterium sp.
Lineage: Bacteria; Bacillati; Actinomycetota; Actinomycetes; Mycobacteriales; Mycobacteriaceae
Description: bacterial SSU rRNA
Rfam family: Bacterial small subunit ribosomal RNA
Source: RNAcentral